GAUGAACGCUGGCGGCGUGCCUAAUACAUGCAAGUCGAGCGAAUGGAUUAAGAGCUUGCUCUUAUGACGUUAGCGGCGGACGGGUGAGUAACACGUGGGUAACCUGCCCAUAAGACUGGGAUAACUCCGGGAAACCGGGGCUAAUACCGGAUAACAUUUUGAACCGCAUGGUUCGAAAUUGAAAGGCGGCUUCGGCUGUCACUUAGGGCUGGACCCGCGUCGCAUUAGCUAGUUGGUGAGGUAACGGCUCACCAAGGCAACGAUGCGUAGCCGACCUGAGAGGGUGAUCGGCCACACUGGGACUGAGACACGGCCCAGACUCCUACGGGAGGCAGCAGUAGGGAAUCUUCCGCAAUGGACGAAAGUCUGACGGAGCAACGCCGCGUGAGUGAUGAAGGCUUUCGGGUCGUAAAACUCUGUUGUUAGGGAAGAACAAGUGCUAGUUGAAUAAGCUGGCACCUUGACGGUACCUAACCAGAAAGCCACGGCUAACUACGUGCCAGCCGCCGCGGUAA
Molecule: ribosomal RNA, 515 nt
Filed under: uncultured bacterium
Lineage: Bacteria
Description: partial 16S ribosomal RNA
Rfam family: Bacterial small subunit ribosomal RNA
Source: RNAcentral